UACGUAUGGUCCAAGCGUUAAUCGGAAUUACUGGGCGUAAAGCGUGCGCAGGCGGUUGUGCAAGACCGAUGUGAAAUCCCCGAGCUUAACUUGGGAAUUGCAUUGGUGACUGCACGGCUAGAGUGUGUCAGAGGGGGGUAGAAUUCCACGUGUAGCAGUGACAUGCGGAGAGAUGUGGAGGAAUACCGAUGGCGAAGGCAGCCCCAUGGGAUAACACGGACGCGCAUGCACGCAAGCGUGGGGAGCACACAGGAUGCGAUAACACCGGAGUCC
RNAcentral lists this ribosomal RNA (273 nucleotides) under uncultured bacterium. RNAcentral's name for it is "partial 16S ribosomal RNA". It matches the Rfam family "Bacterial small subunit ribosomal RNA", at positions 524 to 796 of the family's 1533-position model. The record is from RNAcentral.